This 2616-nucleotide ribosomal RNA is filed under the name Klebsiella quasipneumoniae subsp. similipneumoniae. RNAcentral describes it as "bacterial LSU rRNA". It matches the Rfam family "Bacterial large subunit ribosomal RNA". The record is from RNAcentral. Lineage: Bacteria; Pseudomonadati; Pseudomonadota; Gammaproteobacteria; Enterobacterales; Enterobacteriaceae.
GUUAACGAGGCGAACCGGGGGAACUGAAACAUCUAAGUACCCCGAGGAAAAGAAAUCAACCGAGAUUCCCCCAGUAGCGGCGAGCGAACGGGGAGCAGCCCAGAGUCUGAAUCAGCUUGUGUGUUAGUGGAACGGUCUGGAAAGUCCGACGGUACAGGGUGAUAGUCCCGUACACCAAAAUGCACAGGCUGUGAACUCGAAGAGUAGGGCGGGACACGUGGUAUCCUGUCUGAAUAUGGGGGGACCAUCCUCCAAGGCUAAAUACUCCUGACUGACCGAUAGUGAACCAGUACCGUGAGGGAAAGGCGAAAAGAACCCCGGCGAGGGGAGUGAAAAAGAACCUGAAACCGUGUACGUACAAGCAGUGGGAGCACCUUUAGGUGUGACUGCGUACCUUUUGUAUAAUGGGUCAGCGACUUAUAUUCUGUAGCAAGGUUAACCGUAUAGGGGAGCCGCAGGGAAACCGAGUCUUAACUGGGCGUUAAGUUGCAGGGUAUAGACCCGAAACCCGGUGAUCUAGCCAUGGGCAGGUUGAAGGUUGGGUAACACUAACUGGAGGACCGAACCGACUAAUGUUGAAAAAUUAGCGGAUGACUUGUGGCUGGGGGUGAAAGGCCAAUCAAACCGGGAGAUAGCUGGUUCUCCCCGAAAGCUAUUUAGGUAGCGCCUCGUGAACUCAUCUUCGGGGGUAGAGCACUGUUUCGGCUAGGGGGUCAUCCCGACUUACCAACCCGAUGCAAACUACGAAUACCGAAGAAUGUUAUCACGGGAGACACACGGCGGGUGCUAACGUCCGUCGUGAAGAGGGAAACAACCCAGACCGCCAGCUAAGGUCCCAAAGUCAUGGUUAAGUGGGAAACGAUGUGGGAAGGCACAGACAGCCAGGAUGUUGGCUUAGAAGCAGCCAUCAUUUAAAGAAAGCGUAAUAGCUCACUGGUCGAGUCGGCCUGCGCGGAAGAUGUAACGGGGCUAAACCAUGCACCGAAGCUGCGGCAGCGACACGAUGUGUUGUUGGGUAGGGGAGCGUUCUGUAAGCCUGCGAAGGUGACCUGUGAGGGUUGCUGGAGGUAUCAGAAGUGCGAAUGCUGACAUAAGUAACGAUAAAGCGGGUGAAAAGCCCGCUCGCCGGAAGACCAAGGGUUCCUGUCCAACGUUAAUCGGGGCAGGGUGAGUCGACCCCUAAGGCGAGGCCGAAAGGCGUAGUCGAUGGGAAACAGGUUAAUAUUCCUGUACUUGGUGUUACUGCGAAGGGGGGACGGAGAAGGCUAUGUUAGCCGGGCGACGGUUGUCCCGGUUUAAGCAUGUAGGCUGGUUAUCCAGGCAAAUCCGGAUAAUCAAGGCUGAGGUGUGAUGACGAGGCACUACGGUGCUGAAGUAACAAAUGCCCUGCUUCCAGGAAAAGCCUCUAAGCAUCAGGUAACAUCAAAUCGUACCCCAAACCGACACAGGUGGUCAGGUAGAGAAUACCAAGGCGCUUGAGAGAACUCGGGUGAAGGAACUAGGCAAAAUGGUGCCGUAACUUCGGGAGAAGGCACGCUGGUGUGUAGGUGAAGCCCCUGCGGGUGGAGCUGAGACCAGUCGAAGAUACCAGCUGGCUGCAACUGUUUAUUAAAAACACAGCACUGUGCAAACACGAAAGUGGACGUAUACGGUGUGACGCCUGCCCGGUGCCGGAAGGUUAAUUGAUGGGGUUAUCCGUAAGGAGAAGCUCUUGAUCGAAGCCCCGGUAAACGGCGGCCGUAACUAUAACGGUCCUAAGGUAGCGAAAUUCCUUGUCGGGUAAGUUCCGACCUGCACGAAUGGCGUAAUGAUGGCCAGGCUGUCUCCACCCGAGACUCAGUGAAAUUGAACUCGCUGUGAAGAUGCAGUGUACCCGCGGCAAGACGGAAAGACCCCGUGAACCUUUACUAUAGCUUGACACUGAACAUUGAGCCUUGAUGUGUAGGAUAGGUGGGAGGCUUUGAAGCGUGGACGCCAGUCUGCGUGGAGCCAACCUUGAAAUACCACCCUUUAAUGUUUGAUGUUCUAACGUUGGCCCCUUAUCGGGGUUGCGGACAGUGUCUGGUGGGUAGUUUGACUGGGGCGGUCUCCUCCCAAAGCGUAACGGAGGAGCACGAAGGUUAGCUAAUCCUGGUCGGACAUCAGGAGGUUAGUGCAAUGGCAUAAGCUAGCUUGACUGCGAGCGUGACGGCGCGAGCAGGUGCGAAAGCAGGUCAUAGUGAUCCGGUGGUUCUGAAUGGAAGGGCCAUCGCUCAACGGAUAAAAGGUACUCCGGGGAUAACAGGCUGAUACCGCCCAAGAGUUCAUAUCGACGGCGGUGUUUGGCACCUCGAUGUCGGCUCAUCACAUCCUGGGGCUGAAGUAGGUCCCAAGGGUAUGGCUGUUCGCCAUUUAAAGUGGUACGCGAGCUGGGUUUAGAACGUCGUGAGACAGUUCGGUCCCUAUCUGCCGUGGGCGCUGGAGAAUUGAGGGGGGCUGCUCCUAGUACGAGAGGACCGGAGUGGACGCAUCACUGGUGUUCGGGUUGUCAUGCCAAUGGCACUGCCCGGUAGCUAAAUGCGGAAGAGAUAAGUGCUGAAAGCAUCUAAGCACGAAACUUGCCCCGAGAUGAGUUCU